This 514-nucleotide unclassified non-coding RNA is filed under the name Hevea brasiliensis (rubber tree). The record is from RNAcentral. Lineage: Eukaryota; Viridiplantae; Streptophyta; Magnoliopsida; Malpighiales; Euphorbiaceae.
UUCUACCAAAACUGCAAACCACAAAUAAAACUCCAUGCAAAUAUAGAUAGAUAGAUAGAGAUUAACACUGCUACUACAGUGCCAAGCCUCAGUUCUCACAUCCCUAGUCAUGUAGAACAAACUUGAUCUAGACCUUGUAUCCCCUGCUCUUCCUCCUUCCUCUGGCCUUUUCAAACUUCCUUCCCUUAGCCCGAACAUAUGGCUUAGUGUGGCUAUGGGGAACACCAGGAGCAGGACCAAAGUGUUUCACAGCCUCCCUAGCAUUCUUUGGGCCCCUCAGCAGAACCGUGUUCUGUCCGAGAGGGGCACGCAGAGCAAGCUGGUCAAACGUAAGACACUCACCACCAGCCUUAACAAUCCUCGCCCUCGCAGUCUCGGUAAACCUCAGUGCAGUUACCUUCAUCGCCGGGAUCUCCUCAGCCACCCUCUUAUCAUCAGUCACCGUCCCCACAAUUACCGCAAUCUUAUCAUCCUUUCCUUUCAUGAAUGUCAUGAGUCGCUUGAGCGAGAGCGG